GAUCAUGGCUCAGGAUGAACGCUAGCGGCAGGCUUAACACAUGCAAGUCGAGGGGCAGCGAGGUCAAAGCUUGCUUUGAUUGUCGGCGACCGGCGCACGGGUGCGUAACGCGUAUGCAACCUACCCACUACAGGGGGAUAACACUGAGAAAUCGGUACUAAUACCCAUAAUAUCUUGUAAAGGACGAUCUUUCGUAGGUUGGUAAAACUACCCGGUCGGGUAGUGGAGUGGGCGAUGCGUUGUAUUAG
This 248-nucleotide ribosomal RNA is filed under the name uncultured bacterium. RNAcentral describes it as "partial 16S ribosomal RNA". It matches the Rfam family "Bacterial small subunit ribosomal RNA", at positions 15 to 244 of the family's 1533-position model. The record is from RNAcentral.